Molecule: ribosomal RNA, 97 nt
Filed under: uncultured bacterium
Lineage: Bacteria
Description: partial 16S ribosomal RNA
Source: RNAcentral
CACACCGCCCGUCACACCAUGGGAGUGGGUUUCACCAGAAGCAGUUAGCCUAACCGCAAGGAGGGCGCUUACCACUUUGUGAUUCAUGACUGGGGUG